GGAAGCCGACAGAGGACUUCAUGUAAUCUUUUUUAAUUCACCUUGUUAUCCCGAGAUAAUGACAUCAUUAAUUAGAGAUCUGGAGAAAACACUUUUAUUCCGUGAUCUCGAGAAAACAGAUAAUUAUUCCAGACGAAGCCAGGCCAGUCUUCUGCGGAGGUGCUGCGGACUAAUUUUGAAAUUAUCCCUUAUUAAAAGACUUAAUGCAAUCUCUGCCUGUGUCAACCCCUGAUCAAAAUAUUGCCUUAUUAGGUGAUCGAUUAUUCCAGACAUUCUAAAGACCAGCGUUGCAUCUUUACAGAAUGAGAUAUAGCCCCGAAGUCAUCAUACAAGCCUCUUGGCGUAGCCUACCUGAAUGACCCAUUUGUCAGCUGUUUACUCGAGAUCAUGAAA
This is a long non-coding RNA of Thalassophryne amazonica, 393 nucleotides long. RefSeq lists it as uncharacterized. The transcript has 2 exons. NCBI's taxonomy places the organism in Eukaryota, Metazoa, Chordata, Actinopteri, Batrachoidiformes, Batrachoididae. The record is from RefSeq and is a predicted model, not a curated record.